Long non-coding RNA from Bos taurus (domestic cattle), 1299 nucleotides. The record is from Ensembl. NCBI's taxonomy places the organism in Eukaryota, Metazoa, Chordata, Mammalia, Artiodactyla, Bovidae.
CUUCACUGCAUUUGAGUGUUCUAACAUGAUUGUACUGAGCUGUAUCUUUGUUCUGACCAACAAACAUUGUGAGAAAAAUAUGAGUUCCUUCAGUGCAUAGCACUGUGUUAAAGCAAAAAGGUGAAGCUAACUUAAGCCAGGAUAUAAGACAUAAUAUGGAUAAUAUCAAAAAAUAUAUUAAGGACUUCCCUAGUGGUCCAGUGGUUAAGACUGCACACUUUCACUGCAGGGAACACAAGUUUUAUCCCUGGUGGGGAACUAGGAUCACAAAUGCUGUGCAGCUUGACCAAAAGAAAGUGAAAGUGAAAUCACUCAGUCGUGUCUGACUGUUUGCGACCCCGUGGACUGUAGCCCACCAGACUCCUGCGUCCAAGGGAUUCUCCAGGCAAGAAUACUGGAGUGGGUUGCCAUUUCCUUCUCCAGGGGAUCUUCCCAACCAAGGGAUCGAACCCAGGUCUCCCACAUUGCAGGCCGAUGCUUUAACCUCUGAGCCACCAGGGAAGCCCAAAGAAAAAAAGGAUGUAUUAAUUAAAUGACUGCUUUUACGUGCAUACAAAUGGUUAAGUGUGUGGGAUGAUGGCAGAGGGUUGGGACUGGUGAGAGCUAGGUUUUCAAAAUACUCAAGGUUGAAGUGGAUUCCUGAAGGUACUAGAAUUAAGGAAGAGAAAGGCUUAGAGAACAUUUAGAAAGAGGAAAUUCAGUGGGAUAGAAAAGUGAGGUGACGAGCAGAUGAAGCCACUGAGACCAGCCUGUGGAAUAUCCUGUGACACUUCUAGGCCUUGAGGAAGGCUAAGGAGAAGGAUCCCUUGAAAGAGUGGGCCACCGCAGUGCCUGUGGGGGUGACAGAAACAGAGGACCCACCUACACUUUUCACGGUCUCUGAGUUUUGAACACAGGAGGCCUGCAGAUCUUUCCUGUUAAAUUCAUGGGUAAAAUGCAGUUUGGGGCUUCCCAGAUGGCUCAGUGGUAAAGAACCCACCUGACAAUGCAGGAGACCUGGGUCUGAUCACUGGGUUGGGAAGAUCCCCUGCAGAAGGAAAUGGCAACUCACUCUAGUAUUCUUGCCUGGGAAAUCCCACAGACAGAGGAGCCUAGCGGGCUGCAGUCUGUGGGGUCCCAAAAGAGUCAGACAUGACUUAGCAACUAAAACAAUAAGUAAGUGUGCUUGGGACUUAGGAAAAUGUUCUGAGGCACUGAAGUUUCUUUAUCUGCAUGUACUAGUGUGAUAGCCACUUGCUAUUGACUGUUGAACACUUGAAAUGUGACAAAUCUGAUUUGAGAAGUGCUCUAAGUUUACAC